UGAAAUCUGGCCCCCGGGUCCGAGUUGUAAUUUGUAGAGGAUGCUUUUGGUGAGGUACCUUCCGAGUUCCCUGGAACGGGACGCCAUAGAGGGUGAGAGCCCCGUCUGGUCGGAUACCGAUCCUCUGUAAAGCUCCUUCGACGAGUCGAGUAGUUUGGGAAUGCUGCUCUAAAUGGGAGGUAUAUGUCUUCUAAAGCUAAAUAUAGGCCAGAGACCGAUAGCGCACAAGUAGAGUGAUCGAAAGAUGAAAAGCACUUUGAAAAGAGGGUUAAACAGUACGUGAAAUUGUUGAAAGGGAAGCGCUUGUGACCAGACUUGGGCCCGGUUAAUCAUCCAGCGUUCUCGCUGGUGCACUUGGCCGGCCCAGGCCAGCAUCAGUUCGGCGUGGGGGAUAAAGGCGGCGGGAAUGUGGCUCCUCCGGGAGUGUUAUAGCCCACCGUGUAAUACCCUGUGCUGGACUGAGGUUCGCGCAUUCGCAAGGAU
Molecule: ribosomal RNA, 483 nt
Filed under: Fusicolla epistroma
Lineage: Eukaryota; Fungi; Ascomycota; Sordariomycetes; Hypocreales; Nectriaceae
Description: eukaryotic LSU rRNA
Rfam family: Eukaryotic large subunit ribosomal RNA
Source: RNAcentral